Molecule: ribosomal RNA, 497 nt
Filed under: uncultured bacterium
Lineage: Bacteria
Description: partial 16S ribosomal RNA
Rfam family: Bacterial small subunit ribosomal RNA
Source: RNAcentral
GAUGAACGCUGGCGGCGUGCCUAAUACAUGCAAGUCGAGCGAACAGAUGAGGAGCUUGCUCCUCUGACGUUAGCGGCGGACGGGUGAGUAACACGUGGAUAACCUACCUAUAAGACUGGGAUAACUUCGGGAAACCGGAGCUAAUACCGGAUAAUAUAUUGAACCGCAUGGUUCAAUAGUGAAAGACGGUUUUGCUGUCACUUAUAGAUGGAUCCGCGCCGCAUUAGCUAGUUGGUAAGGUAACGGCUUACCAAGGCAACGAUGCGUAGCCGACCUGAGAGGGUGAUCCGCCACACGGGAACUGAGACACGGUCCAGACUCCUACGGGAGGCAGCAGUAGGGAAUCUUCCGCAAUAGGCGAAAGCUUGACGGAGCAACGCCGCGUGAGUGAUGAAGGUCUACGGAUCGUAAAACUCUGUUAUUAGGGAAGAACAAAUGUGUAAGUAACUAUGCACGUCUUGACGGUACCUAAUCAGAAAGCCACGGCUAACUACGUG